Molecule: non-coding RNA, 21 nt
Organism: Caenorhabditis elegans
Lineage: Eukaryota; Metazoa; Nematoda; Chromadorea; Rhabditida; Rhabditidae
Source: Ensembl
UGUCAGUGGCUUUGAUUCCGU